Molecule: transfer RNA, 86 nt
Filed under: bacterium
Lineage: Bacteria
Description: tRNA-Leu
Rfam family: tRNA
About the family: Transfer RNA (tRNA) molecules are approximately 80 nucleotides in length. Their secondary structure includes four short double-helical elements and three loops (D, anti-codon, and T loops). Further hydrogen bonds mediate the characteristic L-shaped molecular structure. tRNAs have two regions of fundamental functional importance: the anti-codon, which is responsible for specific mRNA codon recognition, and the 3' end, to which the tRNAs corresponding amino acid is attached (by aminoacyl-tRNA synthetases). tRNAs cope with the degeneracy of the genetic code in two manners: having more than one tRNA (with a specific anti-codon) for a particular amino acid; and 'wobble' base-pairing, i.e. permitting non-standard base-pairing at the 3rd anti-codon position.
Source: RNAcentral
GGCUUGGUGGCGGAAUUGGUAGACGCUGUGGAUUUAAAAUCCAUUGUCCAUAGGACGUGCGGGUUCGAUCCCCGCCCAAGCUACCA